This 301-nucleotide ribosomal RNA is filed under the name uncultured bacterium. RNAcentral describes it as "partial 16S ribosomal RNA". It matches the Rfam family "Bacterial small subunit ribosomal RNA", at positions 509 to 807 of the family's 1533-position model. The record is from RNAcentral.
CAGUCGCCACGGGAAUACGAAGGGUGCAAGCGUUACUCGGAAUUACUGGGCGUAAAGCGUGCGUAGGUGGUGGUUUAAGUCCGUUGUGAAAGCCCUGGGCUCAACCUGGGAAUUGCAGUGGAUACUGGGUCACUAGAGUGUGGUAGAGGAUAGUGGAAUUUCCGGUGUAGCAGUGAAAUGCGUAGAGAUCGGAAGGAACAUCUGUGGCGAAGGCGACUAUCUGGGCCAACACUGACACUGAGGCACGAAAGCGUGGGGAGCAAGCAGGAUUAGAGACCCCCGUAGUCCCUGUCUCUUAUAC